GAAACUAAGCAUAUCAAUAAGCGGAGGAAAAGAAACCAACAGGGAUUGCCUCAGUAACGGCGAGUGAAGCGGCAACAGCUCAAAUUUGAAAUCUGGCCUCCUUCGGGGUCCGAGUUGUAAUUUGUAGAGGAUGUUUCGGGUACGGCAGCGGUCUAAGUUCCUUGGAACAGGACGUCAUGGAGGGUGAGAAUCCCGUGUGAGACCGUCCGCCACGCCCAUGUGAAACGCCUUCGACGAGUCGAGUUGUUUGGGAAUGCAGCUCAAAAUGGGUGGUAAAUUUCAUCUAAAGCUAAAUACCGGCCAGAGACCGAUAGCGCACAAGUAGAGUGAUCGAAAGAUGAAAAGCACUUUGGAAAGAGAGUUAAAAAGCAUGUGAAAUUGUUGAAAGGGAAGCGCUUGCAACCAGACUUGCUCCCAGGUGUUCACCCGGCGUUCUCGCCGGGGCACUCGCCUGGGAUCAGGCCAGCAUCGGUUUUCGCGGCCAGACAAAGGCUCCGGGAAUGUAGCUCCUCUCGGGGAGUGUUAUAGCCCGGGGUGCAAUGUGGCCCGCGGGGACCGAGGAACGCGCUUCGGCACGGAUGCUGGCGUAAUGGUUGUAAGCGGCCCGUCUUGAAACACGGACCAAGGAGUUGACCAUCUAUGCGAGUGUUUGGGUGUCAAACCCACACGCGAAAUGAAAGUGAACGGAGGUGGGAGCCCUCGGGCGCACCAUCGACCGAUCCUGAUGUCUUCGGAUGGAUUUGAGUAAGAGCAUAGCUGGUCUGACCCGAAAGAUGGUGAACUAUGCCUGAAUAGGGUGAAGCCAGAGGAAACUCUGGUGGAGGCUCGCAGCGGUUCUGACGUGCAAAUCGAUCGUCAAAUUUGGGUAUAGGGGCGAAAGACUAAUCGAACCAUCUAGUAGCUGGUUCCCGUCGAAGUUU
RNAcentral lists this ribosomal RNA (920 nucleotides) under Chaenothecopsis haematopus. RNAcentral describes it as "LSU rRNA". It matches the Rfam family "Eukaryotic large subunit ribosomal RNA", at positions 30 to 969 of the family's 3401-position model. The record is from RNAcentral. Lineage: Eukaryota; Fungi; Ascomycota; Eurotiomycetes; Mycocaliciales; Mycocaliciaceae.